AACAGCUGCUUUCGGUGAACGCGCGGGCAGCAGAUUUGCACAGCGCAGGGCUGUGUGAACGCGCAGGGGCAGCAGAUUCGCAUGAUCUCCUCUGCCAUGGCAUGCUUUUUGCUACGAAACUGCAGCCAUCUCGUCACUCAUUGGAGAAGGAUGAGAAGCUGCCCCCCAGCCAGAGGGACACAUCUGCCACCAAAUCCGUCGCUCACUGGAUUCUGUCAUCUCCGUCUCUGUGUCUCCCACAAUCCGUGUGUCUGUCUGCUGUAUAUGUGGACCGUCUGCUGCACUGCGUCUGUUCUGCCAUUUACUCUAACCUGUUUUUUUUUUGUGUGUCCCAACUCUGACCAGCAUGUUCUCCUAUGGAACACGAAGUACCUGAAGUGGAUUGAAGAAGCCCAUGUUUGAGGCCCGCGCCCCCGGCUGGAGCAGUGAAGGGGCAUCUGACAGUCUUCCUCCUCCGUCGCAGGACACAGCGUUAGCCUCAGUCGAUCCAACAAAGA
Molecule: long non-coding RNA, 497 nt
Organism: Bufo bufo (common toad)
Lineage: Eukaryota; Metazoa; Chordata; Amphibia; Anura; Bufonidae
Exons: 3
Source: RefSeq, a predicted model, not a curated record